UGGUAGCUCAGUUGGUAGAGCAAUUGACUCUUAAUCAAUGGGUCCAGGGUUCGAGUCCCUGC
RNAcentral lists this transfer RNA (62 nucleotides) under human gut metagenome. It matches the Rfam family "tRNA", at positions 7 to 64 of the family's 71-position model. From Rfam's summary of the family: Transfer RNA (tRNA) molecules are approximately 80 nucleotides in length. Their secondary structure includes four short double-helical elements and three loops (D, anti-codon, and T loops). RNAcentral also lists the same sequence under 1 other name. The record is from RNAcentral.